GUUGAUCCUGCGGGAGGUUGCUGCUAUGGGGAUUCGAUUAAGCCGUGCAAGUCUGAUAGUAAUAUCGGCGACAGGCUCAGUAACACGUCGUUAACAUACCCUUAGGUCAGGGACAAGCACGGGAAACUGUGUGUAAUACUUGAUAAGGGAUGCCUCCUGGAACGGUGCAUCCUUUGAAACUCGUGCCUAAGGAUUGGACGGCGGCAGAUUAGGUAGUUGGCGGUGUAAUGGACCACCAAGCCCGAGAUCUGUACGGGCCAUGAGAGUGGUAGCCCGGAGAGGGACACUGAGAUACUGGUCCCAGCCCUACGGGGUGCAGCAGGCGCGAAACCUUUACAAUGCACGCAAGUGUGAUAAGGGAAUCCCCAGUGCUUAUGUAAUGCAUAGGCUUUUGCCAAGUGUAAAUAGCUUGGCGAAUAAGUGGUGGGAAAGACUGGUGCCAGCCGCCGCGGUAACACCAGCGCCACGAGUGGUAACCACGAUUAUUGGGCCUAAAGCGUCCGUAGCCGGCCUUGUAAAUCUUUUGUGAAAUUGAUCGGCUUAACCGAUCAGCGUGCAAGAGACACUGCAAGGCUCGAGACCGGGAGGUUCAGAAGUAUUCCAGGGGGAGCGGUAAAAUGUUAUAAUCCCUGGAGGACUACCUGUGGCGAAGGCGUCUGACCAGAACGGAUCUGACGGUGAGGGACGAAAGCUAGGGGAGCGAACCGGAUUAGAUACCCGAGUAGUCCUAGCCGUAAACGCUGUGAGCUAGGUGUUGCGCUAACUACAUGUUAGCGCAGUGUCGAAAGGAAGCUGUUAAGCUCACCGCCUGGGAAGUACGGUCGCAAGACUGAAACUUUAAGGAAUUGGCGGGGGAGCACCACAAGGGGUGCGGCGUGCGGUUUAAUCUAACUCAACGCAGAGAACCUUACUAGAAGCGACGGCAGGAUGAAAGUCAACUUGAAGAGUUUACUUGACGAGCCGAGAGGUGGUGCAUGGCCGCCGUCAGCUCGUGCUGUGAAGUGUCCAGCUAAGCCUGGCAACGAGCGAGACCUGUAUCCUCAAUUGCUAACAGCCACAUGUGGGACUGAGCACUUUGAGGAGACUGCCCUGGAAACAGGGAGGAGGGUGCAGGCUACGGUAGGUCUGUAUGCCCCGAAUCUUCUAGGCUACACGCGCGCAACAAUGGUUGGGACAAUGGGAUGCCACUCCGAAAGGAGAAGCUAAACCUCUAAACCCAAUCCAAGUCUAGAUUGAGGCUUGCAACUCAGCCUCAUGACAACGGAAUCCCUAGUAAUCAGAAGUCAUCAUCUUCUGGUGAAUAUGUCCCUGCUCCUUGCACACACCGCCCGUCAAAUCAACCGAGCAGGGUCUCGGUAAAGUGCAGCCUUUUAGUUGUACUGAAUCGAGGCUCAGUGAGGUGGGUUAAGUCGUCACAAGGUA
This 1422-nucleotide ribosomal RNA is filed under the name metagenome. RNAcentral's name for it is "bacterial SSU rRNA". It matches the Rfam family "Archaeal small subunit ribosomal RNA". The record is from RNAcentral.